AGGACGAACGCUGGCGGCGUGCUUAACACAUGCAAGUCGAGCGGUAAGGCCUUUCGGGGUACACGAGCGGCGAACGGGUGAGUAACACGUGGGUGAUCUGCCCUGCACUUCGGGAUAAGCCUGGGAAACUGGGUCUAAUACCGGAUAUGACCUCAGGUUGCAUGACUUGGGGUGAAAGAUUUAUCGGUGCAGGAUGGGCCCGCGGCCUAUCAGCUUGUUGGUGGGUAAUGGCCUACCAAGCGACGACGGGUAGCCGACCUGAGAGGGUGACCGGCCACACUGGGACUGAGACACGGCCCAGACUCCUACGGGAGCAGCAGUGGGAAUAUGCACAAUGGGCGAAAGCUGAUGCAGCGACGCGCGUGAGGAUGACGGCUUCGGUUGUAACCUCUUUCAGCGAGGACGAAGACGACGAAGUGACGGUACUGCGAGAAGAAGCAACCGACUAACUACGUAGCCAGCACGCCGAC
Molecule: ribosomal RNA, 470 nt
Filed under: uncultured soil bacterium
Lineage: Bacteria
Description: bacterial SSU rRNA
Rfam family: Bacterial small subunit ribosomal RNA
Source: RNAcentral